UUUAAAGCAGUCUACAAGAAUACCAUUUUACAAUGGACAAAUAGAGAUAUUAAGAGGUAACUAAAAAAGGGGGUGCAUCCCACGUACAAGGGGACUAUAUACAAAGGGCACUAGAAAAGAACAAGUAAAGAACAAGUUAUAUCAAAAUCCUACUAUCCCCAAACUAGACAAUAAAUGAAAUCCAACACGAAACCUUUCACCAUCCCCACUUCAAAAGAGAUUUGAUGGAGACCUCCUUUGAUCUUUGAUUAGAAGACUCCUCCCUAUUGAAAACCCAUCCACCCAUUGCACUCUCUCCAAAUGCACAAAAACAAGCAAAUGAGAGUCAUUUACAACACAUUUUUCCUUUAACUAUUUAUUCCCCACACACAGAAAAGAAGAUCCUUAACCAUUUCCAGAACACCACCCUCAAGCCUACAUAUUGCAGAUAAGGUAUCCCAUAGUAAUCAAACUUUGCCACAAUGAACUAAAAUAUGGAUUUCUGUUUCUUCACUACAUUUACAAAGAUUACAUCUGUUCAUCAAAAUUCAUCCCCCCUCUCAAAAGUUGAUCAUGGUUGAUAUCUUCUUCCAAAUAACUUCCCAAGGAAGAGACAAGCCUUCGAGCAGGUUCCCCAGUUCCUGAAAGCUUGAAGCAAGGAACAAUCCCCUAAGCCACAAGUUGUAAAAUGUCUUCACCUAAAAAUGCCCUUCUCAUCUCCCCCAUCCCCCUCUCUAAUGCUCCCAUUCACCAAACAAUUUUACAAAAUGAAUGCACCACUUUAUAAACCACACACCUCUUCAAGCUGUGAAAAAGCCUCCUAAAACUAGGGCUCCAAAGAACCCGAUCCCCCUCAACCACCCACAAAUCAGCCAAUUUUGCAUGUUUGGAAAUAGCAAAACUAAAGAGAAGGAAAAGCUUGUUUCAAAAACUCUCCCCAACUCAUAUGCCCAAACCACAGACUUUGUCCUUAUCCCAUACCCAACCAACAUAGAGGUUGUAAGGGUACACUAUUGCUCACCAAAAUAUGAUGUAGGAUAACCCUAAGAUGGUUAUCUAGAAUCAAAUAGGUGGGCUAUCUUUUAAAUUUAAGGAGGUGAACAAGAAUAAAUUAUAGCAGUGGAAAGAGACAAAUAAAAUAUUGGAAAAGAAAGAUAAUGACGAGAGAUAGGAAACUUUAGAGUCUCAUUAAGGCCUUCUAGAAAUCUCACUUUAAGGCAAUCAAUGGAGUCUCCCCAUUGAAAAUUGAAAGAUAUGUAAAAAUAAAAAAUAAAUAAAUAAAUAAGCUUUAAAAAAUUAAUAUUAUUGAUCAUUAAUCCUUAAUCUCGUUUUAUAGCAAUUAGCCUUAUUCAUAGGUUUUAGGUUUUGAAUAAAACUAUGAAAAAGUAAACCUAACCUAUAUAGUAACUAAUUGGGAUUCCUAUCCCUUUCCUAAAACUAUUAAAUCUUCUAAAAAAAUUAAAAGAAAUCAAAAUUAUUUUUUAUAGAAUGAGAAACUUACUUCAUAUAAAGUUUCAAACUUCUAAAUUUUCAUGACUCAAAAUGAAAAUUUUAGAACAAAAAAUUAUUUAGAAAAUAGAAAGUUUAGAACUUUUUUUUAAUGAGAAUUCUAGAACUUUCCAAAUUCCAACACUUUACUUUAUUUUCCUUUUCUUUUUUUAAAAAAACACAUUGAUGACCUCAUCCCCAUCAAAAUAGCUUUCCACAACCCCACUCCAAAAGGUGCUUCCACCUCCUACAAGCACCACCCACCACCCAUCUAGCAAAACAUUCUUUGGGUUUAGUUAUAACCUUCCUCCACGCAUUAUCUCACUCAUUUACAAAUCUCCAUAAUUACUACUAAGUAAAGUAGUGUUUAGAAUAGAAAGCCUUUAGAUACCUAGCCCACCCUACCUUUCUUUUCUUCUUUUUUUUCUUCUUUUUUCUUUGAGUCCACAAUCAACCUAUUCACAAGAUGAAGCAUUCUCCAUCUAGAUGAUUUCCCCACAAGAAGCCUAUAACUCUUUUCCAAUUUGACUCUUACUUUCCUAGGCAUGACAAAUAAGGACGUGAAAGAAAUUGUUAAACUGAGAGUAUGGUUUUGAUGACAGUCAGAUUUUUUUUUUUUUCCUUUUUUUUUUAUAAGCCAGUGAGAGUUAAUCUUCCCUGUAGACAAAAAUUGUUUCUUCCAUAUUUUUUUAAUCAACUAAUGAGAGUCAUUCUUCCCCCAUAAAAUCAAAUUUUUCUUCCAAGAGGUCAAUCUCCUUAAAUGCUCCUCUACUGAAUCCAAUACAACAUAACACUUAUAAACAGAUCUAAGGGAAGACCUAGAUAGGUGGAAGGAAAACAACAAACCCUACAAUUGAACAAAGAAACCAAAACACCCAUCCAUUGCACCUCAACCACCAAAAUCAGCUUCUUUGCUACAAAUUGAUUUUCAAACCCAGAACAAGCUCAAAAUAAAUCAAGGCCCACCUCAAAUACUUCAGCUAUUCCUUAGUGGCUUCACAAAACAACAAUAUAUCAUUCAUGAAAAAAUGAUGGGAAACUUCUACUCCUCCCACAUUCCCUACCUCGAAACCCUCUAAUAAAGCCCCACUUGCACUGCCCUCAAAAUGCAAGGGCUGAAAGCUUCCAUUGCUAAUACAAAACGGUAUAAAGUGGAUCACCCUGACUCAAACCUGUAAAGCUUUUUAAAACCAAAAGUCCCCCAGUACUUGAUCCAUCCCAUCCAUCUUUACCCGAAUCACAUUUUUUCCAUAAUCAAGAGGAGAAACUUCAACUUUACAUGAUCACAGCAGGUCUCUAUAUCCAAUUGGCACACUAAUCCUACUUGGAACCUUUUUGUUUCCAAAUCUAUAGCUUUGUUAGCAAGAAAAGUUACAUUCAAUAUUUGUCUACCCUCCACAAAAACAUUAUGAGACUUUGACAUCACCUUUUCAAUGACCUCCUUCAAUUUAUUCAUCAAAACU
This 2930-nucleotide long non-coding RNA is filed under the name Vitis vinifera (wine grape). Its description in RNAcentral is "long non-coding RNA (VVIN_LNC004830)". The record is from RNAcentral. Lineage: Eukaryota; Viridiplantae; Streptophyta; Magnoliopsida; Vitales; Vitaceae.